UUGCCAUUCUUGGUUAUAUGGAUAAUAAUAUCUCAACACUCAAUAGAGAUGGAUGGAUCGGUAAGUAUGUAUGUCAAAAAUAAUUUAAAAAUGACUAUGUUUGAGGCUAACAAUCCAACCGAAUUGGAUCAUAUUCAAAUCAAAUUGCUUACAAGAUAAAUUAAAAAAAUCUACCGGCUCAAAAAUCGAUCCAUUCAUCAAUUUGAUCAAAAAUCCAAAUAUGAGCCUCUC
Molecule: long non-coding RNA, 231 nt
Filed under: Elaeis guineensis (African oil palm)
Lineage: Eukaryota; Viridiplantae; Streptophyta; Magnoliopsida; Arecales; Arecaceae
Description: long non-coding RNA (EGUI_LNC001554)
Source: RNAcentral